Bufo gargarizans (Asiatic toad) is the source of this 1225-nucleotide long non-coding RNA. RefSeq lists it as uncharacterized. The transcript is spliced from 4 exons. NCBI's taxonomy places the organism in Eukaryota, Metazoa, Chordata, Amphibia, Anura, Bufonidae. The record is from RefSeq and is a predicted model, not a curated record.
CAAUGGUAUGCCUGAGACGCCGGCAUCCACGAGUAUUGACCCCUCCGUACGUCUCUACAAUGUUGUUCAUCAUUCUACUGAAGCUGCAUCAGGACGUUCUGUGCGGGGAAAGAAGAAGAAGAAAGCGGAGGCAGCGCCAGCAGCAUGGAAUCCGUGGGAGAGACACAGGGAGGCACACUUUUCGGUAAUCAGAGAGCCAUCCCUGUGUUUCUGGUGUUACAUAGGACUGCAGGAGUCCGAUAGAUUCAGAUACCACAGGGCUUUGUUCCUACGGCGUUCCCUUUGCCGCAAAACUGACAUGUGCCCUUCAUUCUCUGGAUGAUUAGAUCAAUUCCAGUUGGACAGUUUCUACGGGUGUGUAGGAUAUGCUCCACUGACAGAAUGCGGAUGAUCUGAAGCAACGCUUUUCCAACCGUAGAUAUAGCCAAUGGUCUAGCAAGGAAACCUAUAGGAGGGCAAAAUCGUGUUCUCGUUCUGAUCUUCUUUACUCCAUGAAACGGAAGUCCAGUGAUAAUAAAGUGAGAUUUAUCACAAAUUAUCACUCUAGAUGGUUUGAGAUGAAGGCUUGUUUGGAGAAAUUUUGGCCAGUGCUAUUAACUGAUCCGAUUGUUGCGAAAUAUGUUGCUUCAGGCCCUUCCAUGGUGGCAAGAAGACCUAGGAAUUUGUAAGAUCACUUGGUAAGGAGCCUUUAUACGAAGCAGAUCCCUCCAAUUUCCCAGGAGUUGGCAAGCCCAAAUGGGGCUUUGCACCUUGUGGGAGGUGCAUGGUUUGUACCAAUAUGGAGAGGGCCACGGACUUCUGUGAUGCAACCGGUGAGAAGGUUUUUCAAAUUACACACCUUUGACCUGCUCCAGUAUAGCAGUUGUUUACUAUGCUACAUGCCCAUGUCCAAAGGUGACCUGCACUUUGAGAAAGCAGCCAUGUUUCUCUAAUCUUGUAUGGCCCUUCCAUAGGCACAGUUCUCUUAGGCUGGGUUCACAUCUGUGCUUUUAACUCCGACAGUCUGUUCCGGCAGAAGAACAGACUGCUGGUGGUUACCAUAUCCGGCAGAGCCAGAUACCACAGUGGACUGCUGGAUCCUCAUUCCAGUAUAUAUGCUGGCUUUCGGCCUCACAAAAAAUGCUACUUGUAAUAUUUUUUUAUCCGGCCCAAAACCGGCAUGUCCGCUGGAUACAGUCUGUUCUUCUGCUGGAACAGCCUGCCAGAUUUAAAAAUGCAGAUGUGA